Molecule: non-coding RNA, 355 nt
Organism: Pelobates cultripes (western spadefoot toad)
Lineage: Eukaryota; Metazoa; Chordata; Amphibia; Anura; Pelobatidae
Source: the annotation of a GenBank genome assembly
CUUGCAGCCCUACUCAGGAGUUAAAUAUACUCUCUGGUUUUGAGAUUUUUACCUAGAUCUUCUGUGCCAAAAAACUAAAAUAUAUAUAUAUGUUUUCAGUAAAAAUCCCAAAUACACUGUAUUGUCACGAACACAACAUGCAAGUAUCCUGGCCUGUUAUGACAUCAUUUAUUAGAAAAUUAGAGAUUAAGGAUCGGAUUGUCAGAGCCAUGCUGUAGAAUAGGCUCCUGAUUAUAAUUAACAGCUUCACGCUCAGAAUGAGGGUCUGGGUGAAAAUAGCUGUGUGCAAUGAAUUAUACCCAAAAGGGGAUCGAACGAUGAAAGACAACUCAGUCAAAAACAAGCAGGUACGCGG